This 253-nucleotide ribosomal RNA is filed under the name uncultured bacterium. Its description in RNAcentral is "partial 16S ribosomal RNA". It matches the Rfam family "Bacterial small subunit ribosomal RNA", at positions 524 to 776 of the family's 1533-position model. The record is from RNAcentral.
UACGUAGGGAGCUAGCGUUGUCCGGAAUCAUUGGGCGUAAAGCGCGCGUAGGCGGCCCGGUAAGUCCGCUGUGAAAGUCAAAGGCUCAACCUUUGAAUGUCAGCGGAUACUGCCGGGCUAGAGUCCGGAAGAGGCGAGUGGAACUCCUGGUGUAGCGGUGGAAUGCGCAGAUAUCAGGAAGAACACCAACGGCGAAGGCAGCUCGCUGGGACGGUACUGACGCUGAGGCGCGAAAGCGUGGGGAGCGAACAGG